GGGCUUGUGGUUUAGUGGUAUAAUUUUCCCUUAGCACGUGACGAGCUUUCCAGCAUCGUCCGAAGCGUGGGAAAGGUCCUGGGUUCGAUUCCCAGCAAGUCCA
Molecule: non-coding RNA, 103 nt
Organism: Kalmusia sp. IMI 367209
Lineage: Eukaryota; Fungi; Ascomycota; Dothideomycetes; Pleosporales; Didymosphaeriaceae
Source: the annotation of a GenBank genome assembly